AUAUGAAUCAGCGACUACUGCCCUACCAUGCCUGAUAGUGUAUUUGACACUUGUCACUGAAGAUAGCGAUGCAUUAUCCAGUUUUCGACAAACUUGUAAUAGUCGAAUUAGACUCGGUUUGCUGAGCCAGAGAAUUGAUAUAAGCUGGAAGGAGAUAUUACUAACUGAGAGGAGUCUGCUCCAUUGGCAAUGGUUGCAUCUGUUCCAUUAGUUUCCAUUAGUUUAAUCUUCCAGUCUCCAGUUUUCCUUGCAUCCAUGCAUCACCCAAGAUGUCUUUCCACCUCCUGGAGCCUCUGAAACUCACCGGAGUCUGACUGAUUUAGUUGCCCAGC
RNAcentral lists this small RNA (332 nucleotides) under Oryza sativa Japonica Group (Japanese rice). RNAcentral describes it as "sRNA Os10g0336700". Lineage: Eukaryota; Viridiplantae; Streptophyta; Magnoliopsida; Poales; Poaceae. The record is from RNAcentral.